GGUAGCUGUAGGAGAACCUGUAGCUGG
This 27-nucleotide ribosomal RNA is filed under the name Loma richardi. RNAcentral's name for it is "partial small subunit ribosomal RNA". Lineage: Eukaryota; Fungi; Microsporidia; Glugeidae. The record is from RNAcentral.